This 222-nucleotide ribosomal RNA is filed under the name uncultured bacterium. RNAcentral describes it as "partial 16S ribosomal RNA". It matches the Rfam family "Bacterial small subunit ribosomal RNA", at positions 524 to 744 of the family's 1533-position model. The record is from RNAcentral.
UACGUAGGGCGCAAGCGUUGUCCGGAAUUAUUGGGCGUAAAGAGCUCGUAGGCGGUCUGUUGCGUCGGCUGUGAAAACCCGAGGCUCAACCUCGGGCCUGCAGCCGAUACGGGCAGACUAGAGUUCGGCAGGGGAGACUGGAAUUCCUGGUGUAGCGGUGAAAUGCGCAGAUAUCAGGAGGAACACCGGUGGCGAAGGCGGGUCUCUGGGCCGGAUACUGAC